UACGUAGGGCGCAAGCGUUGUCCGGAUUUAUUGGGCGUAAAGAGCUCGUAGGCGGUCUGUCGCGUCGGCUGUGAAAACCCGAGGCUCAACCUCGGGCCUGCAGUCGAUACGGGCAGACUAGAGUGUGGUAGGGGGAGACUGGAAUUCCUGGUGUAGCGGUGGAAUGCGCAGAUAUCAGGAGGAACACCGGUGGCGAAGGCGGGGUCUCUGGGCAGUAACUGACGCUGGAGGAGCGAAAGCGUGGGGGAGCGAACAGG
RNAcentral lists this ribosomal RNA (257 nucleotides) under uncultured bacterium. RNAcentral's name for it is "partial 16S ribosomal RNA". It matches the Rfam family "Bacterial small subunit ribosomal RNA", at positions 524 to 776 of the family's 1533-position model. The record is from RNAcentral.